This 468-nucleotide ribosomal RNA is filed under the name uncultured bacterium. RNAcentral describes it as "partial 16S ribosomal RNA". It matches the Rfam family "Bacterial small subunit ribosomal RNA", at positions 28 to 507 of the family's 1533-position model. The record is from RNAcentral.
GACGAACGCUGGCGGCGUGCUUAACACAUGCAAGUCGAACGGAAAGGCCCUGCUUUUGUGGGGUGCUCGAGUGGCGAACGGGUGAGUAACACGUGAGUAACCUGCCCUUGACUUUGGGAUAACUUCAGGAAACUGGGGCUAAUACCGGAUAGGAGCUCCUGCUGCAUGGUGGGGGUUGGAAAGUUUCGGCGGUUGUGGAUGGACUCGCGGCUUAUCAGCUUGUUGGUGGGGUAGUGGCUUACCAAGGCUUUGACGGGUAGCCGGCCUGAGAGGGUGACCGGCCACAUUGGGACUGCGAGACGGAGCAGACUCCUACGGGAGGCAGCAGUGGGGAAUAUUGCACAAUGGGCGGAAGCCUGAUGCAGCAACGCCGCGUGCGGGAUGACGGCCUUCGGGUUGUAAACCGCUUUCGCCUGUGACGAAGCGGGAGUGACGGUAAUGGGUAAAGAAGCACCGGCUAACUACGUG